Molecule: ribosomal RNA, 204 nt
Filed under: uncultured bacterium
Lineage: Bacteria
Description: partial 16S ribosomal RNA
Rfam family: Bacterial small subunit ribosomal RNA
Source: RNAcentral
AGUGCAGGCGGUUUUUUAAGUCUGAUGUGAAAGCCUUCGGCUUAACCGAAGAAAUGCAUUGGAAACUGGGAAACUUGAGUGCAGAAGAGGAGAGUGGAACUCCAUGUGUAGCGGUGAAAUGCGUAGAUAUAUGGAAGAACACCAUGGCGAAGGCGGCUCUCUGGUCUGUAACUGACGCUGAGGCUGAAAGCUGGGUAGCAAACA